This 497-nucleotide ribosomal RNA is filed under the name uncultured bacterium. Its description in RNAcentral is "partial 16S ribosomal RNA". It matches the Rfam family "Bacterial small subunit ribosomal RNA", at positions 28 to 507 of the family's 1533-position model. The record is from RNAcentral.
GAUGAACGCUGGCGGCGUGCCUAAUACAUGCAAGUCGAGCGAACAGACGAGGAGCUUGCUCCUCUGACGUUAGCGGCGGACGGGUGAGUAACACGUGGAUAACCUACCUAUAAGACUGGGAUAACUUCGGGAAACCGGAGCUAAUACCGGAUAAUAUAUUGAACCGCAUGGUUCAUCAGUGAAAGACGGUUUUGCUGUCACUUAUAGAUGGAUCCGCGCCGCAUUAGCUAGUUGGUAAGGUAACGGCUUACCAAGGCGACGAUGCGUAGCCGACCUGAGAGGGUGAUCGGCCACACUGGAACUGAGACACGGUCCAGACUCCUACGGGAGGCAGCAGUAGGGAAUCUUCCGCAAUGGGCGAAAGCCUGACGGAGCAACGCCGCGUGAGUGAUGAAGGUCUUCGGAUCGUAAAACUCUGUUAUUAGGGAAGAACAAAUGUGUAAGUAACUAUGCACGUCUUGACGGUACCUAAUCAGAAAGCCACGGCUAACUACGUG